CUAAGGCUCCGGAGGAAGCCACGGCUAACUCUGUGCCAGCAGCCGCGGUAAUACAGAGGCGGCAAGCGUUGUUCGGAAUUAUUGGGCGUAAAGAGCACGUAGGCGGCCGUGUAAGUCGGUUGUGAAAGCCUUCCGCUCAACGGGAGAACGGCAUCCGAUACUGCAUGGCUCGAGUGCGGGAGGGGAGAGUGGAACUUCUGGUGGAGCGGUGAAAUGCGUAGAUAUCAGAAGGAACACCGGCGGCGAAGGCGACUCUCUGGCCCGUAACUGGCGCUGAGUGUGCGAAAGCUAGGGGAGCAAACGGGAUUAGAUACCCCGGUAGUCCUAGCCGUAAA
RNAcentral lists this ribosomal RNA (335 nucleotides) under uncultured Planctomycetales bacterium. Its description in RNAcentral is "bacterial SSU rRNA". It matches the Rfam family "Bacterial small subunit ribosomal RNA", at positions 473 to 806 of the family's 1533-position model. Lineage: Bacteria; Pseudomonadati; Planctomycetota; Planctomycetia; Planctomycetales. The record is from RNAcentral.